RNAcentral lists this ribosomal RNA (863 nucleotides) under uncultured bacterium. RNAcentral's name for it is "bacterial SSU rRNA". It matches the Rfam family "Bacterial small subunit ribosomal RNA", at positions 8 to 853 of the family's 1533-position model. The record is from RNAcentral.
AGAGUUUGAUCAUGGCUCAGGACGAACGCUGGCGGCGUGCCUAAUACAUGCAAGUUGAACGAUGAUUUCUGGUACUUGUAUCAGAAUGAAGAGUAGCGAACGGGUGAGUAACGCGUGGGUAACCUACCUCUUAGCGGGGGACAACUAUUGGAAACGAUAGCUAAUACCGCAUAACAAUAUUAAACACAUGUUUAAUAUUUGAAAGUACCAAUUGGUACACUAGGAGAUGGACCCGCGUUGUAUUAGCUAGUUGGUAGUGUAAUGGACUACCAAGGCGAUGAUACAUAGCCGACCUGAGAGGGUGAUCGGCCACAUUGGGACUGAGACACGGCCCAAACUCCUACGGGAGGCAGCAGUAGGGAAUCUUCGGCAAUGGACGAAAGUCUGACCGAGCAACGCCGCGUGAGUGAAGAAGGUUUUCGGAUCGUAAAACUCUGUUGUUAGAGAAGAACGUUGUGUAGAGUGGAAAAUUACACAAGUGACGGUAUCUAACCAGAAAGGGACGGCUAACUACGUGCCAGCAGCCGCGGUAAUACGUAGGUCCCGAGCGUUGUCCGGAUUUAUUGGGCGUAAAGCGAGCGCAGGUGGUUUAAUAAGUCUGAUGUAAAAGGCAGUGGCUCAACCAUUGUGUGCAUUGGAAACUGUUAGACUUGAGUGCAGUAGAGGAGAGUGGAAUUCCAUGUGUAGCGGUGAAAUGCGUAGAUAUAUGGAGGAACACCGGUGGCGAAAGCGGCUCUCUGGACUGUAACUGACACUGAGGCUCGAAAGCGUGGGUAGCAAACAGGAUUAGAUACCCUGGUAGUCCACGCCGUAAACGAUGAGUGCUAGUUGUUUGGAGCUAUCCAGCCCUAAGUGACGCAGCA